CUUGCCUGGGCUGGAAUGCAGUAGUGUAAUCAUGGCUCACUAGCCUUGACCUUCUGGGUUCAGGUGAUCCUCCCAUCUCAGCCUCCUGAAUAGCUGGGAAUACAGCCCCCAAGGACUGGGAUGAUCAAUACUGGAAACCUGUGCUUUAGUUCUUCCACCUCUGCUGCUGCUAUGCUGUGUGACCUCAGGCUGUCUCCGUUACCUCGACACCUGUAGGACUGGGCCCACCGGGAGCACCAUGUGGAGAACAGAGACAAAUUGGAGUGCCUUGGGGAGGAAGGAGGAGAGCACAGUCUCUGAGUCAGCCAUGAGGCAGAGCAAAUACAAGUGGUCAUGCAGGAAGAAGAGUGUGCUGGUUCUGCGGGGUCCCAAGAGGGAGAUGUACGGGGGUUGUGCUUUGUUCAAUAUGACAACACUACCGAUGGUUUAGUUCUCACUGCAUGAGCUUUACAUUGGUGUAUCUUUCCAGCCUUGACACUAUCCUGCAGGGUAAAACAACUGUCCCCCAUCAUAAAAAAUGAAGGUAACAGUGCAUGUUUUCCCCUCAGCCUGGGACAGCUUCACCAGGCAAAUUCCUGCUCAUUUUCCAGGCCACCUCCCUGGAGAAGUCCUUCCUCAACCCCAAGAACACAUUGAGUUCUCUGUCUUCUGUUCCCAUGGGACCCUGCACUCACCCCUCCUAGCUCUUGCUGUAACAGUAGACACAUGAUUUUGGUGUAAAUAUGGACAGGACAGGAGGCAGGGCUGGACACUGCUACAUGCCCCAGAACAGUGCCUGUCCUAUGGUAUCCAAGGAAUAAUUAUCUAACAAGUGAGAUGGAGCAGGGAACCCUCUUAGGGGCCCUGCAGCACCGCCCCCACCAAGCAUGGAAAUAAAAUCUUGAGUUUCUUCAAGGGAAAUUCCAGGCACCUAGCUAGCCCUGAGAAGUAAAUAAGCAAGCUGAUAAGAAGGUAAUAGUAACUUAAAACAACAGCCAAGGAAGCUAGAAUCAUGGGAUGUUUGAUUCCCUACAGAAAUUAAAGAUAACAUCUUCACAUAUGAACCAGGGUUCUUUUUCAGAAACCUGGACCCACACCAAACAGAUGUGCUGGCAUGCAGACCUCAGAUAAGAGGGAACUGCAGGCUGAACUCUGACCGCAGUUCCAGUUCUUUGUUCUAAAUUUAUUCCUAGGAGGCCUGGAAGAAGCCAUACCCACAAGCCAGAGCUAACAUUCUUUUCUGCUGACCCUAAAUUUUAAAACAAAGCUUCUCUUCCUUACCCAAUUGCAAAGCAGAAACUCUCUGAAAUCUACCUAUGACUAUAAGCCCCCACCCACUUCAAGAUAGCCUGCCCCUUUGGGCUGAACCAAUGUGUAGCCUCCAUACAAUGACUUAUAACUUUGCCUGAAACUUCCGCUUUCCUGAAAUUUACCCCUGCCUUUAAAAACCCUUGUUUGCAAGCCACUGGAGAGGCGGGGUGUUAAGCGAGAACUGCUCAGUUCUCCUUGCUUGGUACUCUGAAAAUAAACA
Long non-coding RNA from Pongo pygmaeus (Bornean orangutan), 1510 nucleotides. RefSeq lists it as uncharacterized. The transcript is spliced from 3 exons. The record is from RefSeq and is a predicted model, not a curated record. NCBI's taxonomy places the organism in Eukaryota, Metazoa, Chordata, Mammalia, Primates, Hominidae.